This 491-nucleotide ribosomal RNA is filed under the name Psychrobacter sp. OHg8. RNAcentral describes it as "bacterial SSU rRNA". It matches the Rfam family "Bacterial small subunit ribosomal RNA", at positions 18 to 502 of the family's 1533-position model. Lineage: Bacteria; Pseudomonadati; Pseudomonadota; Gammaproteobacteria; Moraxellales; Moraxellaceae. The record is from RNAcentral.
CCUGGCUCUUAUUGAACGCUGGCGGCAGGCUUAACACAUGCAAGUCGAGCGGAAACGAUGGGAGCUUGCUCCCAGGCGUCGAGCGGCGGACGGGUGAGUAACACUUAGGAAUCUACCUAGUAGUGGGGGAUAGCUCGGGGAAACUCGAAUUAAUACCGCAUACGACCUACGGGAGAAAGGGGGCAGUUUACUGCUCUCGCUAUUAGAUGAGCCUAAGUCGGAUUAGCUAGAUGGUGGGGUAAAGGCCUACCAUGGCGACGAUCUGUAGCUGGUCUGAGAGGAUGAUCAGCCACACCGGGACUGAGACACGGCCCGGACUCCUACGGGAGGCAGCAGUGGGGAAUAUUGGACAAUGGGGGRAACCCUGAUCCAGCCAUGCCGCGUGUGUGAAGAAGGCCUUUUGGUUGUAAAGCACUUUAAGCAGUGAAGAAGACCUAACGGUUAAUACCCGUAUGCGAUGACAUUAGCUGCAGAAUAAGCACCGGCUAACU